Molecule: long non-coding RNA, 840 nt
Organism: Camellia sinensis
Lineage: Eukaryota; Viridiplantae; Streptophyta; Magnoliopsida; Ericales; Theaceae
Source: RefSeq, a predicted model, not a curated record
GCAAGGACUAAAUGAAUUUUAGAUAUGACCCUAAAAUUAAAAACAGAAGUAGAAUUUCAUUUUACAGACCAGUAGAAUCUUUACGUGGUGUUCUAGAUCUAGUAGAUGAUUUCUAGGGCUCGGGAAUCCGAAGCAUUUCUUGUUGAUUUCAGGAGGGGGCACACAGGGAUACGAACCUGAAAACAAUCACAGUUUUAAAGCCGAAGUCUAUUUUGAACUUCCAGAGGCCAUAUUCUUCUCAUCUUCUUUCCAUUGCUUUUGGAUAUGUAAGAUCUCUCUAAUGGGUCCCUUGAAGAAUAAUAAUUGAUGAGAAGGCAACUUUGUUUAAAAUGACUUUUGAUUCACUGGACCUUCUUCGGCUACUACUACUGACCUAAAAAUACCAGGGGGUCGUUUGGCAUCAUCCUAGAAUCUCCUUUACUUGUUAUGGAACAUAUUAAAGCGUGAAAGGAGCUUCAAGUACAUCAAGAUGGUUAAAGAGAAAGCAGACCAGCUGAAUGCAUGGCAUGGCACUGAGACGAACUUUUAUGCAGAGUAGGUCCUGUGGAUUGCUUUCAUUUCAUAUCAGAAGAAAGCACAGUGCCAUUAAACUAUGUGGACCUUUUUUUUUCUUGUCAUGCCCUAAAAUUCAUUGUGUGCUCAAGAGAAAAGCUUCAACAAUUAUUUGUAUUUGCUUUUGUAUUAUUGUACCACUGUGCUUCCAUAGGAUGCCAGAUCAUUCUGAGUAUGUGAUUCAUGUAAUCUACUGCAAUGUGAUGUGUAAUCUUGUUUAUGUUAUAAAAUUCAACUUCACAUCCCUUCAUUUGAAAUCAAUCUAUUCAAACGGAGCGUUAGUGUCUA